RNAcentral lists this unclassified non-coding RNA (344 nucleotides) under soil metagenome. Its description in RNAcentral is "partial contains 5.8S ribosomal RNA, internal transcribed spacer 2, and large subunit ribosomal RNA". The stretch from base 1 to 119 matches the Rfam family "5.8S ribosomal RNA", at positions 35 to 154 of the family's 154-position model. The record is from RNAcentral.
GAUGAAGAACGCAGCGAAAUGCGAUACGUAAUACGAAUUGCAGAUUCAGUGAAUCAUCGAGUCUUUGAACGCACAUUGCGCCCCCUGGUAUUCCGGGGGGCAUGCCUGUCCGAGCGUCAUUGCUGCCCUCAAGCACGGCUUGUGUGUUGGGCCUCCGUCCUCCUCCCGGGGGACGGGCCCGAAAGGCAGCGGCGGCACCGCGUCCGGUCCUCGAGCGUAUGGGGCUUCGUCACCCGCUCUUGUAGGCCCGGUCGGCGCUUGCCGACACAUCAAUCUUUUUUCCAGGUUGACCUCGGAUCAGGUAGGGAUACCCGCUGAACUUAAGCAUAUCAAUAAGCGGAGGA